This 1243-nucleotide ribosomal RNA is filed under the name metagenome. RNAcentral describes it as "bacterial LSU rRNA". It matches the Rfam family "Bacterial large subunit ribosomal RNA", at positions 1667 to 2925 of the family's 2925-position model. The record is from RNAcentral.
AUGAGGAGAGAAUCCUAAGGCCGGCGGAAGAAGCAUUGUCAAGGAACUCGGCAAAAUGACCCCGUAACUUCGGGAGAAGGGGUGCCUGCGAGAGCAGGCCGCAGAGAAUAGGCUCAAGCAACUGUUUAGCAAAAACACAGGUCUAUGCGAAACCGAAAGGUGAGGUAUAUGGGCUGACGCCUGCCCGGUGCUGGAAGGUUAAGAGGAGAGGUUAGCGCAAGCGAAGCUUUGAAUUUAAGCCCCAGUAAACGGCGGCCGUAACAAUAACGGUCCUAAGGUAGAGAAAUUCCUUGUCGGGUAAGUUCCGACCCGCACGAAAGGCGUAAUGAUUUGAGCGCUGUCUCGACAAUGCAUCCGGUGAAAUUGAAGUACCAGUGAAGAUGCUGGUUACCUGCGCCAGGACGGAAAGACCCCAUGGAGCUUUACUCCAGUUUGGUACUGGGAUCCGGUACUGCAUGUACAGGAUAGGUGGGAGGCUGAGAAUCGGUAACGCCAGUUGCCGAGGAGCCGCUGUUGGGAUACCACCCUUGCAGUAUUGGGUUUCUAACCAGCCGCCGUGACCCGGCGGUGGGACAAUGCCAGACGGGGAGUUUGACUGGGGCGGUCGCCUCCGAAAGGGUAUCGGAGGCGCCCAAAGGUUCCCUCAGGAUGGACGGAAACCAUCCAAAGAGUGCAAAGGCAGAAGGGAGCUUGACUGCGACACCGACGGGUGGAGCAGGUACGAAAGUAGGGCUUAGUGAUCCGGUGGUAUUAAGUGGGAAUGCCAUCGCUCGACGGAUAAAAGCUACCCUGGGAUAACAGGCUUAUCACUCCCAAGAGUUCACAUCGACGGAGUGGUUUGGCACCUCGAUGUCGGCUCAUCGCAUCCUGGGGCUGUAGUAGGUCCCAAGGGUUGGGCUGUUCGCCCAUUAAAGCGGUACGCGAGCUGGGUUCAGAACGUCGUGAGACAGUUCGGUCCCUAUCCGGCGUGGGCGUAGGAUAUCUGAGAGGAGCUGUCCUUAGUACGAGAGGACCGGGAUGGACGGGCCGCUGGUGCACCGGUUAGACUGCCAAGUCUAUAGCCGGGUAGCCAAGCCCGGAAGGGAUAAACGCUGAAGGCAUCUAAGCGUGAAGCCCCCCUCAAGAUGAGAUAUCCCAUCCGAAAGGAGUAAACCCCCUUGAAGACGACGAGGUUGAUAGGGCAGGGGUGGAAGUGUGGUAACACAUGGAGCUGACUGCUACUAAUAGGGUGAGGGCUUGACCU